GACGAACGCUGGCGUCGUGCUUAACACAUGCAAGUCGAACGAAGAGCGACGGAAGCUUGCUUCUAUCAAUCUUAGUGGCGAACGGGUGAGUAACGCGUAAUCAACCUGCCCUUCAGAGGGGGACAACAGUUGGAAACGACUGCUAAUACCGCAUACGAUCUAACCUCGGCAUCGAGGAUAGAUGAAAGGUGGCCUCUACAUGUAAGCUAUCACUGAAGGAGGGGAUUGCGUCUGAUUAGCUAGUUGGAGGGGUAACGGCCCACCAAGGCGAUGAUCAGUAGCCGGUCUGAGAAGAUGAACGGCCACAUUGGGACUGAGACACGGCCCAAACUCCUACGGGAGGCAGCAGUGGGGAAUCUUCCGCAAUGGACGGAAGUCUGACGGAGCAACGCCGCGUGAGUGAUGACGGCCUUCGGGUUGUAAAGCUCUGUUAAUCGGGACGAAAGGCCUUCUUGCGAAUAGUGAGAAGGAUUGACGGUACCGGAAUAGAAAGCCACGGCUAACUACGUG
RNAcentral lists this ribosomal RNA (510 nucleotides) under uncultured bacterium. RNAcentral describes it as "partial 16S ribosomal RNA". It matches the Rfam family "Bacterial small subunit ribosomal RNA", at positions 28 to 507 of the family's 1533-position model. The record is from RNAcentral.